CAGGGCCAGCCCUGGCACAGUCAGCGAACAGGUGGCCUGCUCCUGGAUGGGAGGGAUGGGAGGUAACAGGGGAGCCCGUCUUUGUUACCUCUGAGCUUUCUCUGAAGCCCAUUCAGGCCUCAGACCACGUGGCUGAUGAGUAAGGAGGCCUUUCUUUUCCCUCCCCUAAAGCGACUGUUGGCAAAACAGCCCUCUUUGGGAACACGCCUGUUCCCGAAGAGCAGCCAUCUCUUGGGGAACUCCGGUGGCUGGCGGCUCCUCGCGGCCGGUGAAUAAGUGACUGUGAAGAGCUGGCACGGCAGGUCCCGUUUCCGCAUUCCAGACACCCACGGCGGCGGCCAGGGGUGGCCCCACCCUGGGGCGGCCCCGAGCUGGUGCAGGUGGCCCUCGCCCGGAGGAGACCCGGCGGAGCUCCCUUGCAGGCACCUGCCCCUGCGAUCGGACUGUGCUGGGGACGUCCUUCAGGCAUUGUCAACCUCGUUGUCGUCCUCGUUUCUCCGUCGUGAGGCUGGGUCGUGCUCCAUCGUUCAGGCGUCGUCAUCCUCGUCGUCGUCCUCGUUUCUCCGUCGUGAGGCUGGGUCGUGCUCCAUCGUUCAGGCAUCGUGGUCCUUGUCAUUGUCCUCAUUUCUCCGUCCUGAGGCUGGGUCGUGCUCCAUCGUUCAGGCGGCGUCGUCCUCGUUGUCGUCCUCGUUUCUCCGUCGUGAGGCUGGGUCGUGCUCCAUCGUUCAAGCGUCGUCAUCCUCGUCGUCGUCCUUGUUUCUCCGUCGUGAGGCUGGGUCGUGCUCCAUCGUUCAGGCAUCAUCGUCUUCGUCGUUGUCCUCAUUUCUCCAUCCUGAGGCUGGGUCGUGCUCCAUUGUUCAGGCUCAGACUUGGGAACGAGAGCCUGGAAUUUGGCCCCACUCUGCCACCCACCAGCUCUGCGACAUUGGCCACGUGUGUAACUUCCCGGGAGUUUUGGUUUCUUCGUCUGCAUGAUAGGGAGAUUAACAAGCUGAUGGGCUCGUUUGUUGGACGUGUGUGCUCUCUGAGGUUGGGGGGAUUGUGGAAACUCAGGGGAUCCGGGUGUCUGAGCUCAGGGCAGCCCUGGCCCCCGAUCGCCCCCAUGAGUGGAGCUGGUGGUGAGAGUGACGUUAGGAUCCACCACCCAUCCUUCACAAAGGCCUGGCCAGGCCCUCUGUGAGCACAGGUUCACCCUCUGUGCAAGCAAGACCCAGGUGCCCCCCGCCGUUCCCAGGCCCCUGGGGUGCGGGUCCAGGCGGGAGUGCAGAAACACGCACCUCCAUCAGGCGGCUUCUCGGGGGGAAGACAGGCCUGGGAGACGGCGUCUCAGGGCAUGUCGGGUUUGUGUCUGGUCAUAGCCAUUCCCCGGACGGUGACUCUGGAACCUGGCUGGGAAUUGGCACCACCUGGCCAAUCUGGU
Molecule: long non-coding RNA, 1420 nt
Filed under: Equus asinus (donkey)
Lineage: Eukaryota; Metazoa; Chordata; Mammalia; Perissodactyla; Equidae
Description: lncRNA (ENSEASG00005023692.1)
Source: RNAcentral